AUUGAACGCUGGCGGCAGGCCUAACACAUGCAAGUCGAACGAGUGGCGGACGGGUGAGUAAUGUCUGGGAAACUGCCCGAUGGAGGGGGAUAACUACUGGAAACGGUAGCUAAUACCGCAUACCAUCGGAUGUGCCCAGAUGGGAUUAGCUAGUAGGUGGGGUAACGGCUCACCUAGGCGACGAGCCCUGGCUGGUCUGAGAGGAUGACCAGCCACAUGGGAACGGGGACACGGUCCAGACUCCUACGGACGGCAGCAGGGGGUAAUAUUGCACAAUGGGCGCAAGCCUUAUGCAGCCAUGCCGCGUGUAUGAAGAAGGCCUUCGGGUUGUAAAGUACUUUCAGCGAGGAGGCGUUACUCGCAGAAGAAGCACCGGCUAACUCCGUGCCAGCAGCCGCGGUAAUAC
RNAcentral lists this ribosomal RNA (406 nucleotides) under uncultured bacterium. RNAcentral's name for it is "partial 16S ribosomal RNA". It matches the Rfam family "Bacterial small subunit ribosomal RNA", at positions 30 to 526 of the family's 1533-position model. The record is from RNAcentral.